This 2461-nucleotide long non-coding RNA is filed under the name Sus scrofa (pig). RNAcentral describes it as "lncRNA (ENSSSCG00030012863.1)". Lineage: Eukaryota; Metazoa; Chordata; Mammalia; Artiodactyla; Suidae. The record is from RNAcentral.
AGUCGGAACCAGCCUCCCCCAAGAAUCGUGCAUAUAUACACAUCCACACGCCAGCCCAAUGCCACCCACGUGGGACCAUUGAUUUCACUACCUCCAGGCUUUCUCAGGUUGCCCUGAAUUGGAACGCCAUGAACAGUGUAUUCAACUGAGAGUCUGCGUGCUAUCAAGGGAAAAGAGGCCAAUAAUGGGAAGAAAGAAACCCCCAGCCCCCCCAACUUAUGAAGAUGGAAACUGGUGAUCUAGGAUUCCCAGAAAGGGUAGAGAAAAACUCACUUAGCCUCCUAGAUUCACAGAACUAGGUAAGUACCUCCCCCAGCCCCGCUCCUUGGACCGUAAUGGAUGGGGAAGAGCGAGGAAGAAGGAAGUGGGUCUUGGUUUUACUGCUUGCUGCCUUAUCAAGAGCAGCCCUUAGGCCUGGGGCAACUACAGCUGAUGGUGGUCACACCAUGAAGAUUGUUGCUCUCUAGUCCAUUCUUGAUAAUUUAGGGUGAAUAAUACAAAACGUUUUAACUCAGGCUACGGUUGUGAGCCUACUUCUCACCUCUAUCAAGUGAAGCCAAGCGAGGUAUGAAGAGUGCCUAACAGUUUACCAACUGUCAUAUAUAUCAUACCUCAUCUAAUACAACUCUCCGAAAAGAAAGCAUUGUAAAUAUCCCCACUUGAGAAAUGAUGAAAGGAAAAUUCAGAGAAGUCACAAAAUUUUCCCAGAGUUUACCAGGUAAUCGGAAGAGGCUGGUUUCUAAUCUAGAUCUCCUGACUCCAAGUGCCCUAAACCAUGGGCACUGACUGAAGAUUUCAUCUCCCUCCCUCUUCCAUCCUUUGCUUACAUUUAAAGUGCCUAUGAGCAAUAGAAAGGUUUUUUGAGGGUUGGGUUUUCAGAGAAUUUAUAGAUUUCAAUUCUUCCUGUUCUUUCUGCUCCCAAAUUAUCAUAGAUUACAUAAAGUUGGCUUCAUAUUAUCUCUUGGGUCUUUAGAUGAAAAAAUAAAUUUUAGAAAUAUAAUAAAAAAAAAAUGGGCUUAAUGUACACUUGGGUGGGGGCAGGGGAGGAUGGGGCCAAUGGUUUUUAUGUCUCUCUGCUCUAGAAUCAAAUCCAGAUUUGGCUCUAGGGCCAAAUCUCCAGUAGAAAAGUCAAUCCUGUCUUCCAAUCAAACAAAUGAAGUCAUCUGUGCUAAUAUUUAUACAAGGGAUACAAAGAGACUACACAGUAUCACUUUGUAGAUGCUGGGAAAAGACACCACCUGUUCAUUCAAAGCCGAAGACUUCAGUUCCACCUAGAUGUUGGGGAAAUUAACAUAAACUUUUUUGAAAGAAGGGUUAGUCAUUCAAAAUAGUAACAUGCUUUCUCCUCCCUCCAAAAAACAAUCUUCAGAUAAUUAGGAUUUGAGAAGAAAGGGGUCGGUUCUCUACAUCAUGUGGCACUGUGAAGAUAUGAUAAUUAACAUCCACUGUUAAGAGUUACAAAGCAAUCCCUUUCCUAUGUUAUUCAGAAGACUUGGCUCCUUAUUCCCGAAUUAAAAUGAGGACGAAAAGACCUAACUUCCACCUUGUCUCAACAUCAGUGGGCUGCUUUCCCCACAGCCAACCACCUUUCCUAAACUCCCGACUUUUCAACCGCUAAGACCAUGGAAACAUUAAGAAUGACCCUCCUUCAUCAAACCUCAACUUCCCCUCCCACUUGCACUUCUGACCAAUGUACUCACUUCAAAGCAAGCAACAGCAUCCUGUUCAGUUACUCAGUAGGGCCUCUGUAUCUUCACCUAACACCUUCAACCCAAAGAAAACCAAAAGCCACAAAAGACCUCCAUCAUCUCCACACAGCUCCUAGUCCGGCGAUGGCACUUAUGUAACCUCUGGUUUUUGCUCUUAUUGUUUAUUUUGUCAGUUGCCAUGGGAAAGACUGGACAACUCCAUCUGCAAGGGGUAAUUACUGGCCUUCCAAACACACACACACUCACGCAGCAGAGAAGAAGUAUGUGCAGUUAAAGACUUCUUCAAGGAGACCAAGCAAAGGUUAACCAAUGUAUUACUUUGCUGCUGGCAUGCACACAGAAAGGCAGCUGUUCGUUACCAACUAUACUCCAUAUUUUCAGCUCAAGUAUUCAUAAUCGAAAUUAGUAUCUCCUCACAAGUUAAUAUUUCUCAGGCACUACAGACUAAGUGGAUCAUCUUUGCACAAAGAAGAACCAUAAAUAGAAAUUCACAAGUCUGACUUUACCGAAUGUCAAUGAGGUUAAGAGAGGCUGAGCAACUCUCAUAGGACUGAUUAAUAGUGGAGUCAAGAGUCCAGCCCAGAGCCCACAGUCUUGCUGCACUGACCAUUGCUCACGGUGCCUGACCACAGCCUGGGUCACAAGCACCGCUGGCUUCUGGUCUGAUCUCCUGACAGGCUGAAGGGACUCCAACUCUCACCCAACCCAUCCAGUCAAAGUGAGAAAAAUACAAAGCUCCUUUGGUACCAAAG